Molecule: ribosomal RNA, 460 nt
Filed under: uncultured bacterium
Lineage: Bacteria
Description: partial 16S ribosomal RNA
Rfam family: Bacterial small subunit ribosomal RNA
Source: RNAcentral
CCUACGGGAGGCAGCAGUGAGGAAUAUUGGUCAAUGGACGCGAGCCUGAACCAGCCAAGUAGCGUGAAGGAUGACUGCCCUAUGGGUUGUAAACUUCUUUUAUAAAGGAAUAAAACGAGGCACGUGUGCUUUUUUGCAUGUACCUUAUGAAUAAGGAUCGGCUAACUCCGUGCCAGCAGCCGCGGUAAUACGGAGGAUCCGAGCGUUAUCCGGAUUUAUUGGGUUUAAAGGGAGCGUAGAUGGGUUGUUAAGUCAGUUGUGAAAGUUUGCGGCUCAACCGUAAAAUUGCAAUUGAUACUGGCAGUCUUGAGUACAGUAGAGGUAGGCGGAAUUCGUGGUGUAGCGGUGAAAUGCUUAGAUAUCACGAAGAACCCCGAUUGCGAAGGCAGUUUGCUGGACUGUGACUGACGUUGAUGCUCGAAAGUGUGGGUAUCAAACAGGAUUAGAUACCCCUGUAGUC